AACUUCAUCAAGUUUAAUUUUACAGGCAUUAACUCCUUCACCAAGGAACUCUUUUCCCAAAAGACUGCCUGACUGCUGACAAAUACCUUUUAUUUUGCAGUGAGGUAGAAGUAGUACUCUUUAGUUUCCUUUGGGUACCCUACGAACAAGCAUCUAACAGACUUCGAUCCAAGCUUAUCUGUCUUUAAAUGCUUGACAUAAGCGGGACACCCC
This 213-nucleotide long non-coding RNA is filed under the name Elaeis guineensis (African oil palm). RNAcentral's name for it is "long non-coding RNA (EGUI_LNC065222)". Lineage: Eukaryota; Viridiplantae; Streptophyta; Magnoliopsida; Arecales; Arecaceae. The record is from RNAcentral.